AGCUCCAAUAGCGUAUAUUAAAAUUGCUGCAGUUAAAGCGUCCGUAGUCGAAUUUCUUAUGAUUCUGCGUCGUAGAACACAACAUCCGUUGUCGUUUCGUACAUGGAAUUGUAAUUGAGAACUUUAGGAUUUAUUCCCAAAAUUCUUUGUUACCUUGAGCAAACUGGAGUGCUUUAAACAGGCUUUAGCUUGAACAGCUCAGCAUGGAAUAAUAAGAUAGGACUCUGGUUUAUCUUGUUGGUUUCUUAGACUAGUGUAAUGAUUGAAAAGGACACACGGGGACAUCCGUACUUGUUGGAGAGAGGUGAAAUUCUGAGACCCAAUAAAGACGAACAAGUGCAAAAGCAUUUGUCCAGUGUGUACUUG
Molecule: ribosomal RNA, 366 nt
Filed under: uncultured eukaryote
Lineage: Eukaryota
Description: SSU rRNA
Rfam family: Eukaryotic small subunit ribosomal RNA
Source: RNAcentral